UCAACGCUUGGUCUCUCUCCGUCUUCAGCUUUCCGCCAUAGCCAAAAGCUGCAAGAAAUACCAAAUUUCCUCUAAAGUGAGGAUAGGCUCACGCUCCAGCUCACGCAACAACAUAAGCUUGAUUGAGCUCCGGCGAGGUCUCACGGAUGACUACUGAACAGUUGUACGGCAUCGGGUUCCACAUCCCCCGCCGAGAUCUCACCUUUCGCACGAAGCUCGUGCCCCCUACCACCUACUCCAUGACGUCGAGUACUGGCAGCUCCAUGUCCUGGGCUGCUGCUGAAACGAAGAAGCCGAUGAGGGCUCAUUUACGACGUCACCCACAUGUGCGCCGCCCCCGUCGUCCUCAACACGCUCUUUAAACACCCGGCUCUCUCCUCGCAAAUCCGAGGCAAAACCUGCAAUGCCGAGGCCCGACCAAUCGAGCCUCAAAAACCCAAGACUCUGACAGAGUCACAGUUUCAACAUUGCCGCUGCUGUCGACGUAAAAACCAGUACCGUCCGUAGAACCCCUUUUCAGCAGUGGAUCUGGGGCGACACCUACCCUGAGUUGGAUUUCAGGUGGAGGUACCGAAAGCGGGGAGGGCGAUUCCGGGUUUAAGCAGAGCAGGCCUCGUAAAGCUUUAUCAAUGCUUUUCUGAAAUUUGGAGGAAGUGAGAGACUGAAAAGCAGAUGGAGAAAGUGGAUGAGAUGAUUGAGGGCUCCAUGGAGGAUGUUAUC
Molecule: long non-coding RNA, 720 nt
Filed under: Malus domestica (apple)
Lineage: Eukaryota; Viridiplantae; Streptophyta; Magnoliopsida; Rosales; Rosaceae
Description: long non-coding RNA (MDOM_LNC008976)
Source: RNAcentral